CCUACGGGUGGCAGCAGUGGGGGAUAUUGCACAAUGGGGGAAACCCUGAUCCAGCGACGCCGCGUGAGUGAAGAAGUAUUUCGGUAUGUAAAGCUCUAUCAGCAGGGAAGAAAGUAAUGACGGUACAUGAGGAAGAAGCCGCGGCUAACUACGUGCCAGCAGCCGCGGUACGACGUAGGGGGCAAUCGUUAUCCGGAAUUACUGGGAGGAAAGGUGGCGGAGGCGGUACUGCAAGUCUGCAGCGAAAGGCGGGGGCUCAACCCCCGCACUACUCCUGAAACUGUGUAACUGGAGUGCAGGAGGGGCAAGUGGAAUUCCUAGUGUAGCGGUGGAAUGCGUAGAUAUUAGGAGGAACACCAGUGGCGAAGGCGAGCUGCUGGACUGUAACUGACGUUGAGGCUCGAAAGCGUGGGGAGCAAACAGGAUUAGAUACCCGUGUAGUC
RNAcentral lists this ribosomal RNA (443 nucleotides) under uncultured bacterium. Its description in RNAcentral is "partial 16S ribosomal RNA". It matches the Rfam family "Bacterial small subunit ribosomal RNA", at positions 338 to 795 of the family's 1533-position model. The record is from RNAcentral.